Molecule: ribosomal RNA, 1470 nt
Filed under: metagenome
Description: bacterial LSU rRNA
Rfam family: Bacterial large subunit ribosomal RNA
Source: RNAcentral
CCUGCUAGGCCAGCUUGGCGUUGGUUGUCCAAGUUUAAGGUGGUAGGCUGGAAUCUUAGGUAAAUCCGGGAUUCUAAGGCCGAGAGCUGAUGACGAGUUACCCUUUGGGUGACGAAGUGGUUGAUGCCAUGCUUCCAAGAAAAGCUUCUAAGCUUCAGGUAACCAGGAACCGUACCCCAAACCGACACAGGUGGUUGGGUAGAGAAUACCAAGGCGCUUGAGAGAACUCGGGUGAAGGAACUAGGCAAAAUGGCACCGUAACUUCGGGAGAAGGUGCGCCGGUGAGGGUGAAGCAUUUACUGCGUAAGCCCACGCCGGUCGAAGAUACCAGGCCGCUGCGACUGUUUAUUAAAAACACAGCACUCUGCAAACACGAAAGUGGACGUAUAGGGUGUGACGCCUCCCCGGUGCCGGAAGGUUAAUUGAUGGGGUUAGCUAACGCGAAGCUCUUGAUCGAAGCCCCGGUAAACGGCGGCCGUAACUAUAACGGUCCUAAGGUAGCGAAAUUCCUUGUCGGGUAAGUUCCGACCUGCACGAAUGGCGUAACGAUGGCGGCGCUGUCUCCACCCGAGACUCAGUGAAAUUGAAAUCGCUGUGAAGAUGCAGUGUAUCCGCGGCUAGACGGAAAGACCCCGUGAACCUUUACUAUAGCUUUGCACUGGACUUUGAAUUUGCUUGUGUAGGAUAGGUGGGAGGCUUUGAAGCGUGGACGCCAGUUCGCGUGGAGCCAUCCUUGAAAUACCACCCUGGCAACUUUGAGGUUCUAACUCAGGUCCGUUAUCCGGAUCGAGGACAGUGUAUGGUGGGUAGUUUGACUGGGGCGGUCUCCUCCUAAAGAGUAACGGAGGAGUACGAAGGUGCGCUCAGACCGGUCGGAAAUCGGUCGUAGAGUAUAAAGGCAAAAGCGCGCUUGACUGCGAGACAGACACGUCGAGCAGGUACGAAAGUAGGUCUUAGUGAUCCGGUGGUUCUGUAUGGAAGGGCCAUCGCUCAACGGAUAAAAGGUACUCCGGGGAUAACAGGCUGAUACCGCCCAAGAGUUCAUAUCGACGGCGGUGUUUGGCACCUCGAUGUCGGCUCAUCACAUCCUGGGGCUGAAGCCGGUCCCAAGGGUAUGGCUGUUCGCCAUUUAAAGUGGUACGCGAGCUGGGUUUAGAACGUCGUGAGACAGUUCGGUCCCUAUCUGCCGUGGACGUUUGAGAUUUGAGAGGGGCUGCUCCUAGUACGAGAGGACCGGAGUGGACGAACCUCUGGUGUUCCGGUUGUCACGCCAGUGGCAUUGCCGGGUAGCUAUGUUCGGAAUAGAUAACCGCUGAAAGCAUCUAAGCGGGAAACUAGCCUCAAGAUGAGAUCUCACUGGGACCUUGAGUCCCCUGAAGGGCCGUCGAAGACUACGACGUUGAUAGGUUGGGUGUGUAAGCGCUGUGAGGCGUUGAGCUAACCAAUACUAAUUGCCCGUGAGGCUUGACC